Molecule: transfer RNA, 77 nt
Filed under: Opitutaceae bacterium
Lineage: Bacteria; Pseudomonadati; Verrucomicrobiota; Opitutia; Opitutales; Opitutaceae
Description: tRNA-Val
Rfam family: tRNA
About the family: Transfer RNA (tRNA) molecules are approximately 80 nucleotides in length. Their secondary structure includes four short double-helical elements and three loops (D, anti-codon, and T loops).
Source: RNAcentral
GGGGGAUUAGCUCAGCUGGUUAGAGCACCUGCUCGACACGCAGGGGGUCGGCAGUUCGAAUCUGCCAUCUCCCACCA